UGCGAUACGUAAUGCGAAUNGCAGGAUUCAGUGAGUCAUCGAAAUUUUGAACGCAUAUNGCACUUCCGGGUUAGUCCUGGAAGUAUGCCUGUAUCAGUGUCCGUA
This is a ribosomal RNA of 105 nucleotides. It matches the Rfam family "5.8S ribosomal RNA", at positions 54 to 154 of the family's 154-position model. From Rfam's summary of the family: 5.8S ribosomal RNA (5.8S rRNA) is a component of the large subunit of the eukaryotic ribosome.